UACGAGGGGGGCGAGCGUUGUUCGGAAUUACUGGGCGUAAAGCGCGUGUAGGCGGUUGCCAUAGUCAGGUGUGAAAGCCUUGAGCUCAACUCAAGAAAUGCACUUGAUACUGGGCGACUAGAGGACCGGAGAGGAUAGUGGAAUUCCCAGUGUAGUGGUGAAAUACGUAGAGAUUGGGAAGAACACCAGUGGCGAAGGCGGCUAUCUGGACGGUUUCUGACGCUAAGACGCGAAAGCGUGGGGAGCAAACAGG
Molecule: ribosomal RNA, 253 nt
Filed under: uncultured bacterium
Lineage: Bacteria
Description: partial 16S ribosomal RNA
Rfam family: Bacterial small subunit ribosomal RNA
Source: RNAcentral